UGGAUGAGUUGCGAACGGGUGAGUAACGCGUAGGUAACCUGCCUUGUAGCGGGGGAUAACUAUUGGAAACGAUAGCUAAUACCGCAUAACAAUGGAUGACACAUGUCAUUUAUUUGAAAGGGGCAAUUGCUCCACUACAAGAUGGACCUGCGUUGUAUUAGCUAGUAGGUGAGGUAAUGGCUCACCUAGGCGACGAUACAUAGCCGACCUGAGAGGGUGAUCGGCCACACUGGGACUGAGACACGGCCCAGACUCCUACGGGAGGCAGCAGUAGGGAAUCUUCGGCAAUGGGGGCAACCCUGACCGAGCAACGCCGCGUGAGUGAAGAAGGUUUUCGGAUCGUAAAGCUCUGUUGUAAGUCAAGAACGGGUGUGAGAGUGGAAAGUUCACACUGUGACGGUAGCUUACCAGAAAGGGACGGCUAACUACGUGCCAGCAGCCGCGGUAAUACGUAGGUCCCGAGCGUUGUCCGGAUUUAUUGGGCGUAAAGCGAGCGCAGGCGGUUUGAUAAGUCUGAAGUUAAAGGCUGUGGCUCAACCAUAGUUCGCUUUGGAAACUGUCAAACUUGAGUGCAGAAGGGGAGAGUGGAAUUCCAUGUGUAGCGGUGAAAUGCGUAGAUAUAUGGAGGAACACCGGUGGCGAAAGCGGCUCUCUGGUCUGUAACUGACGCUGAGGCUCGAAAGCGUGGGGAGCGAACAGGAUUAGAUACCCUGGUAGUCCACGCCGUAAACGAUGAGUGCUAGGUGUUGGAUCCUUUCCGGGAUUCAGUGCCGCAGCUAACGCAUUAAGCACUCCGCCUGGGGAGUACGACCGCAAGGUUGAAACUCAAAGGAAUUGACGGGGGCCCGCACAAGCGGUGGAGCAUGUGGUUUAAUUCGAAGCAACGCGAAGAACCUUACCAGGUCUUGACAUCCCGAUGCUAUUUCUAGAGAUAGAAAGUUACUUCGGUACAUCGGUGACAGGUGGUGCAUGGUUGUCGUCAGCUCGUGUCGUGAGAUGUUGGGUUAAGUCCCGCAACGAGCGCAACCCCUAUUGUUAGUUGCCAUCAUUCAGUUGGGCACUCUAGCGAGACUGCCGGUAAUAAACCGGAGGAAGGUGGGGAUGACGUCAAAUCAUCAUGCCCCUUAUGACCUGGGCUACACACGUGCUACAAUGGUUGGUACAACGAGUUGCGAGUCGGUGACGGCGAGCUAAUCUCUUAAAGCCAAUCUCAGUUCGGAUUGUAGGCUGCAACUCGCCUACAUGAAGUCGGAAUCGCUAGUAAUCGCGGAUCAGCACGCCGCGGUGAAUACGUUCCCGGGCCUUGUACACACCGCCCGUCACACCACGAGAGUUUGU
This 1338-nucleotide ribosomal RNA is filed under the name Streptococcus thermophilus. RNAcentral describes it as "bacterial SSU rRNA". It matches the Rfam family "Bacterial small subunit ribosomal RNA", at positions 88 to 1415 of the family's 1533-position model. Lineage: Bacteria; Bacillati; Bacillota; Bacilli; Lactobacillales; Streptococcaceae. The record is from RNAcentral.